Molecule: long non-coding RNA, 5892 nt
Filed under: Triticum aestivum (bread wheat)
Lineage: Eukaryota; Viridiplantae; Streptophyta; Magnoliopsida; Poales; Poaceae
Description: long non-coding RNA (TAES_LNC011386)
Source: RNAcentral
CCUCUAAUGUUCUCGGGUACGUGGGUAUAUAUAGAAGGAAGAAGUAGGUCGGUGGAUGCCCGAGGGGCCCACGAGAUAGGGGGCGCGCCUAGUAGGGGGGGCGCCCUCCACCCUUGUGGCCUCCUCGAUUGCUUCCUGACUUGCACUCCAAGUCCUCUGGAUCACAUUUGUUCCAAAAAGAUCGCUUCCGAAGGUUUUAUUCCGUUUGGACUCCGUUUGGCAUUCCUUUUCUUCGAAACACUGAAAUAGGCAAAAAAACAGCAAUACGGGAUGGGCCUCCGGUUAGUAGGUUAGUCCCAAAAAUGAUAUAAAAGUGUAAAGUAAAGCCCAUAAACAUCCAAAACGGGUAAUAUAAUAGCAUGGAACAAUAAAAAAUUAUAGAUACGUUGGAGACGUAUGAAGCAUCUCCAAGCUUAAUUCCUGCUCGUCCUUGAAUAGGUAAAUGAUAAAAACAGAAUUUUUUAUGUGGAAUGCUACCUAGCAUAAUUCUCAAUGUAAUUUUCUAUAUUGUGGCAUGAUUGUUCAGAUCGAAAUGAUUCAAGAAAAAAGCUUAUAAAACAUAAAAAUAGUAAUACUUCGAAGCAUACUAACAAACAAUCAUGUCCUAUCAAAAUAGCAUAGCCAAAGAAAGCUUAUCCCUACAAAAUCAUAUAGUUAGGCCAUGCUUCAUUUUCAUUACACAAAAUACUCCCAUCAUGCACAACCCCGAUGACGAGCCGAGCAAUUGGUUCAUACUUUUUAACGCGCUUCAGCUUUUUUCAACUCUUAUGCAAUACAUGAGCGCAAGCCAUGGACAUAGCACUAUGGUGGUAUAUGGUGGUGGCUUUGAGGACAAAAAGGGAGAAGAUAGUCUCACAUCAACUAGGCGUAUCAACGGGCUAUGGAGAUGCCCAUCAAUAGAUAUCAAUGUGAGUGAGUAGGGAUUGUCAUGCAACGGAUGUACUAGAGCUAUAAAUGUAUGAAAGCUCAACAAAAGAAACUAAGUGGUUGUGCAUCCAACUUGCUUGCUCACGAAGACCUAGGGCAUUUUGAGGAAGCCCAUCAUUAGAAUAUACAAGCCAAGUUCUAUAAUGAAAAAUUCCCACUAGUAUAUGAAAGUGACAACACAAGAGACUCUCUAUCAUGAAGAUCAUGGUGCUAUUUUGAAGCACAAGUGUGGAAAAGAGAUAGUAGCAUUGUCCCUUCUCUCUUUUUCUCUCAUUUCUUUUUUUAUUUGGCCUUUCUUUUUUUUGGCGGGCUCUUUGCCUCUUUUUUUCUUUUUUUUUUAAAGUCCGAAGUCUCAUCCCAACUUGUAGGGGAAUCAUAGUAUUCAUCAUCCUUUCCUCACUUGGGACAAUGCUCUGAUAAUGAAGAUCAUCACACAUUUAUUAAUUUACAACUCGAGAAUUACAACUCAACACUUAGAAUAAAAUAUGACUCUAUAUGAAUGCCUCCGGCGGUGUACCGGGAUAUGCAAUGAAUCAAGAGUGACAUGUAUGAAAAUUAUGAGGGUGGCCUUGCCACAAAUACGAUGUCAACUACAUGAUCAUGCAAAGAGCAAUAUGACAAUGAUGGAGCGUGUCAUAAUAACGGAACGGUGGAAAGUUGCAUGGCAAUAUAUCUCGGAAUAGCUAUGGAAAUGCCAUAAUAGGUAGGUAUGGUGACUGUUUUGAGGAAGGUAAAUAAUGGGUUCAUAAUACCGGCGAAAGUUGCGCGGCACAAUAGAGGCUAGCAAAGUGGAAGGGUGAGUGUGCGUAUAUCCAUGGACUCACAUUAGUCAUAAAGAACUCAUAUACUUAUUGCAAAAGUCUACUUAGCCCUCGAAGAAAAGUACUACUACGCAUGCCCCUAGAGGGAUAGAUUGGUAGGAAAAGACCAUCGCUCGUCCCCGACUGCCACUCAUAAGGAAGACAAUCAAAAGAGCACCUCAUGCAACAAAUUUGUCACACAACUUUUACCAUACGUGCAUGCUAUUGGACUUGCCAACUUCAACACAAGUAUUUCUCAAUUUCAUAAUUACCCACAAGCAUGACUCUAAUAUUACAACCUCCAUUUCUCGAAACAAUUAUCAAGCAUCAAAUUGAUUGUGACGCCCCCGAUUCAAUCGUACACUAGUUAUACACGCAAAUGUGUACGAUCAAGAUCAGGGACUCACAGGAAGAUAUCACAACACAACUCUAGACACAAAUAAAAUAAUACAAGCUUUAUAUUACAAGCCAGGGGCCUCGAGGGCUCGAAUAAAAGCUCGAUACACAAGAGUCAGCGGAAGCAACAAUAUCUGAGUACAGACAUAAGUUAAUCAAGGAUGCCUUAAGAAGGCUAGCACAAACAUCAACGAUCGAAGAGGCAAGGCCUCCUGCCUGGGACCUCCUAACUACUCCUGGUCGUCGGCGGGCUCCACGUAGGAGAAGGCACCCUCUGGGUAGUAGUAGUAGUUGGCAGGGGUGGCAUCUGGCUCCAUGGAUCCACCUUCUGGUUGCAUCAACCGAAAGAAGAAAGAAGGGGGGGAAAGGGGUAGCAAAGCAACCAUGAGUACUCAUCCAAAGUACUCGCAAGCAUCAGAUCUAUACUAAGUAUGCACUGGUAUCAAAUGGAAGGUUUGUAUCUGUGGACUGAACUGCAGAAUGCCAGGAUAGAAGGGGAAAGCCUAGCCUAUGGAAGACUAGCAUCUUCACGCAGCUCCAAUGCAUCUUGCAGCAUGUAGAAGAGUAAAGAAUAGCAGUUUAUAAUUAACAAGCAUGUUGUAACAUUAAUGCCCAGAGAUCCUUCCUCGACUCCCUGCGAGAAAGUAAUCCCGGAGCCACAUAUUCAAGUAUCCAUUUGUAGUUGUAUUAGAUCAGGGUAUAAGUCUGAACGUCUGUUACUGUGGACACGGCUAUUAAUAGAUAAUCUUCCCUGCAGGGGUGCACCACGUUUGCCAACACGCUCGAUCACGUUGGCCGGACACACCUUUCUGGGGUCAAUGCCCGGCCUCGGAAGAUCAACACGUCGCAGCCCUACCUAGGCUCAGUAGAGAGGUCCCCGCCAGUCUACAUCCUAAGCGCUCCGGGGUCUGGGCCCAUCGCCCGUUGCACUCCGGAUCGUUACGUGCAGGGCGGACCUAGGCACCACCACUGGGGUGCCGGCCCAGCCGUGCCGCAAUGCUGAACUGGACGUCUGAAAAAGCUUUGGCUGAUACCACGACGUCGAGGCCCAUAACUAUUCUCGUGUGGUGGUUAGUGCGUAAAGGCCAAAGGCCAACUCAGAACAAAUACCCAAACCUGUUAGUGCAUUAUUAAAAGGAGUGACAGCUGUCGGGACAAGUCCGGAGCUAUCACCCCUCCUGGGUGAUACCGCUAAACAGCCAGCCGCCACUAUCACAUCGCACGGGUGCUCUCCGGGCCCGCCCGGCCUUCACAACGGUCUCCAUUAAAGUCAAGGUAACUGUGUGUCCAGACAUCAAGGGGGAAACCCAAGGAAUCACCCUCGGAGGAUUCCACUCGAUGUAAUCAUCAAGGUGAACGUAAGAGGGACCACCCUCGAGGUUCACACUUGAGGUGUUGAACGACAGAGCCGUAUCGGAAAUGGUGAAAGAGGAACCACCCUCGAUGACCACACCGAAUAGCUACACUACAUAAUUAUCAUCAGGAGUGCAUUAAGAGGGAUCACCCUCGACACUCGAUAGUAGCUCUGCAGAGUCGAGCAACCAAAGGGGCGUGAUGUGAUGUGAGGUGUCAGGCUCUGGUCAUCGAUCACGUUGAUCGAGUCGUCGAUGAUGAAGCAGGGGCAACAAGGACAAGGUGGGGUCACUGACGGAUAACUAGCCAACAUAUACUAAGCAGUUUAGGGUAAGCAGGUAGGUAACAAUAGCAGGUACAAAAGCAGGCUAUGCAUCAAAAUAGGAGCAAACAAUAAUAGUAGCAAAAUCUAAUGCAAGCAUGAGAGUAUAGAAUGGGCAAUAUCGGGAUGAUCAAAGGGGGGGCUUGCCUGGUUGCUCAGACAAGAAGAAGGGGUCGUCGUCGACGUAGUUGAUCACAGCGGCAUCAACGGCGGUCUCGGGGUCUACCGGAGAAAAGAGGGGGAAGAAACAGUAAAUACAGGCAAACAUAUGCACAACAUGAUUAUAAGCGGGGCUAGAGGUGUUCUAACGCAGUGCUAGGCUCUACUGGCGAAGGGAGAAACAUCCGGGAAAGUUUUCCUGGUCCCGGACGUCAGUCAGACAGAUGAACCGGAGGGGAAACGUUGCAUGUUUGCUAUGCCAGGGAUGUGUGGCGGGCGAAUAGACCGCGUAUUCGGAUUCGUCUCGUCGUUCUGAGCAACUUUCAUGUAGAAAACUUUUUCAUCCGAGCUACGGUUUAAUUUCUAUUAAUUUUCAAAGAUUUAAACUAUUUCGGCAUUUAUUUUAAUUCGCAAAUAAACAGAAAAUACCAAGUGUACCCAGCCAUGUGCUAGCCACAGAGGCUGACUGGUGGGGUCCAGGGGGUGUCCAGUCAGCAGUUGACCAGUCAACUAUUGACUAGUCAACAGGGUUAAAUGGGGCCACAUGUCAUUUGCUCUAAAGAGUAAACUAGUACUAAAAUACUUCAAAACCAAAUUAGUCCUAAUUAACACAAGGGCCGGCCACGCACGGAAGUGGGCAGUGGCCAAGCUGGCCACACACACCACACACAGCACGCAACACACAAUUCUGUUUUCUAUUAACAUAAGAUAGCGUUUUGUGAUUUUCACAGGAAUUAAUCCAUGCAUCAAAUUGAUUUGGUCCAAUGGAAACAUUUUAGCUUUGACAAGUGUUCUACCUAGUAAAAUUAUUUUUUCUCCUGUUAACCGUGGUUUUGCCGCAGUUUAGGGGGUGUCCAAAGGGUUAGUCAGUGUAAAAUUUGAAAAGCUAGCUAGCACUAGCUACAGUACUAGCAUCAGUACAGCAAGUAGCCGCGGGAGCAAGCGGGCGGGAGCGCUGCAGGCGUGCGAGGCGCAGCAGCAGCCAUAAGUAGAGCAGCGGUAGCACACGGCGACGGCGACGUGCAGCGCGGCACGGCCGCGUGCGGCAGCGAUGGAUGCGGUGCGCGCCACGGAGCAGAGCAGGUGCGGUAGCGGCGUCAUCAGGCAGCUGCAGCUGCUGUAGGCAGCAGCGCAGCACGCAGCUGCGGGCGGUAGGGCCACUCAUGGGCGUCGCCGGAGCGGGGCGCAGGCGCAGUCGGGCAGGGAGGUGUGGGGCAUGGUCGGGCUGGGCGCGAUGCGGGCGUGGACGCGGACGGUGUGGUCGGGGCCGCGGGCGAGCAGGGGCCGCGGGCGAGGUGAGUGCGGCCCGGACGCAGUCACGGCGGCAAGACAGUGAGUAGUGGGCCACGGCGCAGCGCAGCGAGCGGGUGCGCGGGAGGCGAGGAGCACGAGGCCGUGCUCAUGGACGAGCCUGGCCGGCUAUGGCUGCGGUGACGAGGGGAAGCAACGACGGCGAGCUCGGCUACGCGGCGUCUACCACUUCGGGCGACUGAAGACGACGCCAAGGGAGGGAAGGGAGCGGGAGCUCACCGGGCGGCUCACGGAGGCCGGCGUCAGAUUAGUAGCUGCAGGGGUGGCCGGAGGUGAGGAAGGUCGACGGCGAGUUCGUGGUGGCCGACGGAGAAGAAGAAGCAGACGGCUUGGUGGCUGCUCCCCGGCUCGUCGGCUCGGUGUAGUCGACGCAGUCGUGGAUGAUGGGGUCCGUGGACGCCUCGGAGACGGACGGCGACGACGGUCGCCGCGGUGGUCGACGGUGGCGGCCACAACAAUACUUGUCGAUGGCGGAUCUGGAGAGGGAGGUGGAGCAGGAGGGAGAGGAUGGCAGAAUUUGGAGGAUGGUGGAGUGGGUGAGUGGGGAGGCAGGAAGAAGUGGGAGAGGGGAUCGAGGGGGCGCGAGCGCUGGAGGCCUUAUCCUCUCCCGGCGUCGCCGGCGAG